RNAcentral lists this long non-coding RNA (1958 nucleotides) under Marmota monax (woodchuck). Lineage: Eukaryota; Metazoa; Chordata; Mammalia; Rodentia; Sciuridae. The record is from RNAcentral.
GUGCUAAGGAUCGAACCCAGUGCCUCAUGCAUGCUAGGCAAGCGCUCUGUCACUGAGCUAUUGCCCUGACCCUCCUUCUUUAAUUUCUGAUUUUAGUUAUUUCCUCUCUCUUUUUUUCUUAGUUGAUCCAGUUUGUCUGUGAAUUUGACUAUUCUAGGUGCCUCAGAUAAGUGAAAUUAUAUAAUAUCUUUCCCCUUUGUGUCUGGCUUAUUUCCCUUAGCAUCACUUUUUUUUUUAAUUGCAUUUUCUUGAAACUUAGACACGUAGAAGGGAUAUUUAAGCAUUAUAUAGUUAUCUUCAAAGAUGAUGAAACUGAGGAGGAAGGUGAUUAACUGACUUGAUUCAGGUCACAAACUAGUUAGAGGCAGGGUAAGGGCUGAAGCUCAGGUCUCCUCUCUCCAGGGUGUCUCAAGUCCUCUACAAAUCUGCAAAUAGGUAAAAGCAAACAGAUACAGAACAGCCACAAUCAUUAGGCUUUGAUGAUAAAUUUAGCUGUAGAACCUUAUUUCCCCUAAUCUUUAGGUAAGAAAGAGAAGAGGAUGAUGGGAUUCAUCAUCUCUAGAUUCUUAGAAUCAACUACUAGCUCCUCCAUAUUUAAGAUCCCAAAGUCCCAGGCUCCAGUCCUGGAUCUGACAUUCCCUUUAAUGAAUAUAAUCCACAUUUUUUUUUUCAACAAUGAAAAUGUUGAUAAUAAAACCUACCUCACAGGGUGUUAUUACCCAUCUGGCACCUACUGGGUACUUAUUACAUGAAAGUGAUUGAUGGUGAUGAUGAUGAUGAUGAUGAUGAUGAUGAUAGAUAGAUAAUCAGGGAGAUGAAGGAAGAGUUAGACUGUGGUUCCCCCAAACUGCAUUGCCCUUUGCUCACUUGAAGCCAGUUGAGAUCUGCCUGGGGGAUUCUGGCCAGCAAAUUAUGAAAGCUUGCUUGAUCAAACUCUUUUCUCUGCUUGGCAAUAUGAAGAUACAAAUGUGUAUCUGAUGGGGGAAAAUAUGUAAAAGUGUCACGUGGGACUCACCUUUCUACUAAACUUCAGGGAAGAGACCACCUGCCCCUGCACUGUGGGGUCAACACAGGAGGAGAAGCCAAUCCAAGAGCCAAUGGUGUCAUGGAGUAGCCUUGGGAGACUCACCUCCCAGCCAUGACCAGAGAGAGGCAAGAAUGGCUUUACUCAGCCAGACAGCCUUUGCUCAAGACCAUCUGGGGAUGAGCUGCUCACUCUGGAUGGUGCUGCCCGAUAGAAAACAAAACAAAGACCUGGAAGUGAAGCUCAGUAGUGCUUAUGAAGCAUGCGCAAGGCCCUGGGUUCAUCCCCACACCAUAAACCAAACCGAACCAAACUCCCCAAACUGUCUUCUCUUGGGAUAAAAUCUGCCUCUCUGAACUUUUUGGACCUUCUGCCUAUGGAAUGACCCAGGGGAACUUCAUCUCCACACCAUACGAUAGAGAUUUAAAUAUUUGGGGACAACCAUCACAACCCCCAGAAGGAUCCUUCCAUGAGAGAGCCAUUCUCUGUUACAAUUCUUCCACUUCCUCCAGAAUGCCUAGUAGGUGCUUGGUAGGUUGAAUUGGUGGGUUAGUAAGUGAAUGAAUUAUGAUGUGUCAUUCAUUUUCCUCAUGACCUUGGUCAUCCUUCUUUGGAUGUGCCCCAGUGUCUGUCCCAAUGUUGUUCAAAAUGUGGUUUCCUGUAUUGGACACUAGGUUCCACAUGAGUCUGAGCCAUCUGGAGGCCAAGAGUUGGUACCUCUUCUUUGCAGAACACUUUGCUUCUGUUUGGGUGGCUAAAGGUUGUGUUCGUUUUCUUGGCAGCUGUGUCUAGCCCACUGUUGACUCAUCCUGGGCUUAAGAUCAGCAGAAAUGCCUAAUGCAACUUAAACAUGUUGAUUGCCAGUUUCCCCACCUGAUUAUUAAAGGUAGAGAUUUUUGAAAGGGUAAAAAAGAAAUCAAUCAUUAACAUAGCU